GAGGCCGGAAUUGCUAGUAAUGGCAGGUCAGCAUACUGCCGUGAAUACGUUCCCGGGCCUUGUACACACCGCCCGUCACACCAUGAGAGUUGGGAAUACCCGAAGCCUGUGAGCUAACAUUAAGAGGCAGCAGUCGAAGGUAGAAUCAAUGAUUGGGGUGAAGUCGUAACAAGGUACC
RNAcentral lists this ribosomal RNA (178 nucleotides) under uncultured bacterium. RNAcentral's name for it is "partial 16S ribosomal RNA". It matches the Rfam family "Bacterial small subunit ribosomal RNA", at positions 1322 to 1500 of the family's 1533-position model. The record is from RNAcentral.